GAAAUGCGAUAAGUAAUGUGAAUUGCAGAAUUCAGUGAAUCAUCGAAUCUUUGAACGCACAUUGCGCCCGCCAGUAUUCUGGCGGGCAUGCCUGUUCGAGCGUCAUUUCCACCAUCAGGCCCCCGCGUCGGCCACGAGCGCAGCAGAAACGCGAACUCGUGAGCCCGUCCGAGCGGCUCCCAGAAGCUACACCCACCCAGUUUGACCUCGGAUCAGGUAGGGAUACCCGCUGAACUUAAGC
This 241-nucleotide unclassified non-coding RNA is filed under the name plant metagenome. RNAcentral's name for it is "partial contains 5.8S ribosomal RNA, internal transcribed spacer 2, and large subunit ribosomal RNA". The stretch from base 1 to 105 matches the Rfam family "5.8S ribosomal RNA", at positions 50 to 154 of the family's 154-position model. The record is from RNAcentral.